RNAcentral lists this ribosomal RNA (485 nucleotides) under uncultured bacterium. RNAcentral's name for it is "bacterial SSU rRNA". It matches the Rfam family "Bacterial small subunit ribosomal RNA", at positions 29 to 505 of the family's 1533-position model. The record is from RNAcentral.
AACAAACGCUGGCGGCGUGUCUUAAGCAUGCAAGUCGAGCGGCAAGGGCAGCAAUGCCCCUAGAGCGGCGGACUGGUGAGUAACGCGUGGGUGAUCUACCUAGGGCAUGGGGAUAGCCACUAGAAAUAGUGGGUAAUACCGAAUACGUUCGCAUGGAUGCGUCCAUGCGAGGAAAGGUGCUACGGCACCGGCCUAUGAUGAGCUUGCGUCUGAUUAGCUAGUUGGUGAGGUAAAGGCCCACCAAGGCGAUGAUCGGUAGCCGGCCUGAGAGGGUGUACGGCCACACUGGGACUGAGAUACGGCUCAGACUCCUACGGGAGGCAGCAGCUAAGAAUAUUCCGCAAUGGACGAAAGUCUGACGGAGCGACGCCGCGUGGAUGAUGAAGGCCGAAAGGUUGUAAAGUCCUUUUGCUGGGGAAGAAUAAGCGUGGGAGGGAAUGCCCGCGUGAUGACAUGAACCGGCGAAUAAGCCCCGGCUAACUACG